GGGAGAGGUGGGGGUCCCAGGGGGCCUGGGGACCCAGGGAAUGGCAGCUGAGCCAGGCUGGGGCCUUCAGGGCUGUUUCUCGGAAGAGUGACAUCUGAUAGGAGAAGACAGGAAGAAUGGAUGUGGGGAAGGUGGUUGGGGACAGAAAUAGCUGAUGUGCAGAGCAUCAGAGACAAGAGCAAGCUCUGUGGUGAGGGAAAAGAAGUGAUUCAGUCAGCCUGGGGGCAGAGCACAGGGAGGGCAAGGAGGGGUGAGGAAGGACCGGUCAUGAGAGCCUGGGAGCUGCCAAGGGGUGUGCCCUGUGCCCUAAGGCCAGAGAAAGCGCAUGGCCAGAUGUGCCUUUUGAGGAGGCCACAAUGGGUCUUGGGGAGACUGGAUGUGGAGUGGCAGGGGCAGGAGGAGGAGGACUGGUCAGGACCCCGUGGAGGUCACAGAGGAAGGGAUGGGGCUGCCCCAAAGCAAGUGGUUGGGAGCUGGACAAGGAAGUGAAUUCAGGAGAAACUUCCAGAGUCGGUAUUCAUUAUUUGGUAUUGUCAUGAGAAAGAGGACAAAGGUCAGCUGACCCCUGGCCUCAGAUUGGACAGCCUGGGACGAGAGAUGGAGGAGGUCUGUCAUUCACUGAAAUCAGGUACAGAGAGGGGGAACAACUGAGGAGCUGUCAAAUCACAAAGCUGUGGUGCCCAGGGCCAGGACAUUGAGGAGCAGGAGGGAGGUGUGGAAGGGGAGGAAGGCAGGGACGAAUCAGGACCAGGGGGAGGAGUGGCAGGGAAGACUCAGGCCAGCCGCUUCCCAGCGGACUGUUCUCAGUAAGUGCCUUCGUUGCUGAGCAAGGGCUCGCUGCCUGAUGCCCAUGGAAGCCAACACGAUGGCACCAGCUUUUGAGAAAAGAAAGAACUUUAUCGGGAAGUUGACCAGCAAGGAGACAGGAGGCGAGUGUCUCAAACCUGCCUCUCCGGUCCAAGGUUCUGGGUAAAAUUUAAGGAUUUGGGGCUCCUAAGCUGCAUCUGGGACCCUAUAAGCUGAUUGGCUAGUCUCAAAUCAGUCCCUAUAUGGUAUUCAAGCUACUUGGGCUACUGGGAGCCAGACUUUCCUUAUUGGUGGAGUUCUGGCUUCAUAAAUUGCUCUGGUGGCAACAUUUAUGGAGAUUCUUGGUUCCAGGGUCAUCCUGGGGCCCUGGGUUCCCGCCUGGUACAGUGCAGUGCUGGGUCUGUUGUUGAGCAAGGCUUGAUUAAAACAACCUAUCUUAAGGAAGCAAAAGCAGUGUAAGCAGGUGAACGUGUUACGUGCUGUAUCAACUUCACCUCUCUCGUAGUCAGCUUUCUUCCUGAGCAAUGGAGUGAUGCUUCCUUCCCCGGGGGAGGUGUGAGGGUUGCAGUUAUUAAAGAAAAAGAGACAGCAAAGGCCGACUGUGUGAGUGCAGCAGCCCCCUCAGUGCUGGAAGCUGGGGGCCCUACAACUGUCCCCUCAAAGGCUCAGGUCCCGUUAGGAUGCUGUCAGUUCGUGUCUUGCAGAGGGGCAUCUCCAAGAGUAGGUGUCCUGAGACUGGAGGGAACAGAGUCUGAGGAGGAGAAGGAGCCUGGUGCGGCCAUACACAGCAGGGGCAUGAGGCAUGAUGAGGACUUGAGGGUCCCUCUGUGACAGACAGAGAAGCUCAAGACUCACCUACCCGAUCUUGCUGGGGAUGUGCCUGGGGCUGCCACAUGCAGGCUGUCAUGUCAACACACUCAGCAGCACAUGCACAAUGCACCUGCAUAUACGUGUCUGUAUGCUCUGUAUGUGCACACAUACACAAACAAAACACACGCACACGACACACAGAUAGAUGGUACCCUACUGGACACACACACAUACACACAACACACACAUAUACACUUGCAAAAUAUGCACAUGUAUACAUGUGAACACAUGCACAUGCACACCACGCAACACACACGCACACACAUACACAUGCAUACUAUACACACACUGGACAAAUCUCCACUUCACAAGGUCACUUUUUCCAGGCUUCAGCGAGUCGGUAGUGAGGGAAUCUCUAAAAGCGACAGCAGCCUGAGGGUCCCACAGGGAUUAUGAGAUCUUCCCCCACCCCAGGCUCCUACCGGGUGACGAAAAUUAGCAACGGGGCCCUCAGGCUGAGCCGCAGCUCCCCAGCCGGGGUCUCUGCUGUUGCCUAACAGCCUGUCAACACCGUUUCUGGCUUUUCUCUUCCAGGGUUAUGAAGAUCUCGAGGCUGGAGACCUGAUGGAGAUUUUCCACACUGGCGAUGAGCAUUGGGCGAUCUAUGUGGGAGGUGGUGAUGUGCUCCAUCUGGACCCUAUAAGUGAGUGCCCUAGGGCUGACUCCUCCAGCACCUACUCCAGCGGGAACAUCAGGGCGGUGGUGAAACAGGAGCAUGUGAGGUACGCAGUGGGAAGCUGCCUCUAUCGAGUGAAUAACUAGUUGGACCAGGUGUACAGACCGCGGCCUGUGAAUGAGAUCAUCAGUUCUGCGAGAGAGAUGAUUGGGGCGCAGUUGGAGUACUGUGUUAAGGACAGGAAGUAUAAGCACUUUGUCACCCAUCUGAGAUAUGGCAAAGCCUGCAGCAGGCAGGUAAGGUCCUCUUUGGGGUGAUCACUCUCUCUCUUUGAGGUCUGCUUGGGUGGGGGCGACUGGGCUGGAGAGCCAGCAGGGAGACUCCCCAUGAAUGCUGCAAACACAGGCUCUCGGGAUGUCUGACAGAGGGAGAGGGGAGGAGUGGGUUGCGUAACGUGGUUGGGGAGAGAGAUCCCUGAUGUGCAGAGCAGAAGUGACAAGAGCAAGCUCUGUGAGGGG
This 2811-nucleotide long non-coding RNA is filed under the name Equus asinus (donkey). RNAcentral describes it as "lncRNA (ENSEASG00005027744.1)". Lineage: Eukaryota; Metazoa; Chordata; Mammalia; Perissodactyla; Equidae. The record is from RNAcentral.